UACGGAGGGUGCAAGCGUUAUCCGGAUUCACUGGGCUUAAAGGGUGCGUAGGUGGGUUGGUAAGUCAGUGGUGAAAUCCCCGAGCUUAACUUGGGAACUGCCAUUGAUACUAUUAAUCUUGAAUACCGUGGAGGUUAGCGGAAUAUGUCAUGUAGCGGUGAAAUGCUUAGAUAUGACAUAGAACACCAAUUGCGAAGGCAGCUGGCUACACGAAUAUUGACACUGAUGCACGAAAGCGUGGGGAUCAAACAGG
Molecule: ribosomal RNA, 253 nt
Filed under: uncultured bacterium
Lineage: Bacteria
Description: partial 16S ribosomal RNA
Rfam family: Bacterial small subunit ribosomal RNA
Source: RNAcentral